Molecule: ribosomal RNA, 222 nt
Filed under: uncultured bacterium
Lineage: Bacteria
Description: partial 16S ribosomal RNA
Rfam family: Bacterial small subunit ribosomal RNA
Source: RNAcentral
ACGCUCGACACCUACGGGGGCAGCAGUAGGGAAUCUUCCACAAUGGACGCAAGUCUGAUGGAGCAACGCCGCGUGAGUGAAGAAGGUCUUCGGAUCGUAAAACUCUGUUGUUAGAGAAGAACACGAGUGAGAGUAACUGUUCAUUCGAUGACGGUAUCUAACCAGCAAGUCACGGCUAACUACGUGCAAGCAGCCGCGGUAAUCUGAGCGGGCUGGCAAGGC